This 1603-nucleotide long non-coding RNA is filed under the name Medicago truncatula (barrel medic). Its description in RNAcentral is "long non-coding RNA (MTRU_LNC002491)". Lineage: Eukaryota; Viridiplantae; Streptophyta; Magnoliopsida; Fabales; Fabaceae. The record is from RNAcentral.
UUUUAAAAUUCUUUUUCACUCUUCUUUGCAAUCGAUGGUGAAGAUUUCAACCGACCAAGAUAUCAUAUGAGAGGAUCCAUUCUUCUAACAUCAAGUAUUUCACGGGUAUUCUAUAUAUAUAUAUAUUUUAUUUAUUUUUUAUCCCCAUGAGCUUAGCUCAGUUGGUAGGGAUAUAAUAUAUUAUAUGCAGGGACUAGGUUCGAACCCUGGACACUCCACUUCUCCACAAUUUAAUUGUGUGAGUUCUAGCCACUAGGCUACUUGACCAAAAAAAAAAAUUCUAUAUCUUUUUAACGGAAUUCUCGUUAAUUUCUUGUUCAAUGCAUUUAUUUUAUUUUUUAUUUUCUAAUAUCAUUCAAUGCAUUCAUUUUUACACAAAUAAUUAGACUUUCUAUAUACAUGGUUAGUAUACCAAAAUUGUGAAUGGAAAUAUUAAAAAUAUCACUAUCGCAAUUAAUUUUAUCAUUAAGAAACGUAUCAAACAAUUAUAGUAGACAUAUUACAAUAUAUAUAUUUUUAAUUAAAAAAAUAUUCAAACAUAUCCACACAAAAAUUUCAGACAACAAUUGACCGCGAAAUUCUAUAAAAUAAAAAAAGGUAAACUGUUUCGAUUGACAUGUAAUAUACAUAAAGUCAGAAAAAUGAUCCUAUAAAAAUAAAAACACAUAUUCUAACUCUUCAAUUUAAGAUUCUUCUUAUUUUUUUAUUCUCUAGUCUACUUGAAGCUUAGAAAAGUGAUAUAGAGGUUGAUUUUUUUAUUUUUUUUUUGCAGGCUUAUUUAUGACGUUAAAAUAUGAUUUUUCAUAAGAAAUUAAAAAAUUUCACUAAGGAAUGAUUAAUUGUGAAUUUUCGUUCCCCAUAAUUAAAAAUUUCUUAAACAAUUCAUUCUAAUUCAUACUUCAUUUUAAAACUCCAAAAUUUUAUGGUGAAAGUUUAUAUAAUGUUCUAACCAUGCUUACAAAAUUUGAUUUGAGUGUAUAUGCUUACUAGAAACAAAAUUGCAAUUUUGCAUAUUUUGUUUGAAAAAUUAAAAUAAAUCAAGACAUCUUAGAAAGUAUAUGAAACUUUUCAUAUCAUUUUCAUGUAUUUUAUAGAUGUCUCUGCAAACAAUCUUCACAAAAUUUUAUUUAUAGGUCAAGAUUUCCGUUGUUUUAUUUUUUGAGUUUUUGACGCAUUAAAGUGUUAGAUGAAAUGCUUGAAUGAGGUUUUCAUUGAUUUGUUUCAUUUUUUAUGUUGUGUAAAUAUGGUUGACAGACACAGGCUAGGCAAGGAGAACAUGACUGAUAGCUUACGCAUAGAGAGACAGGCGGCAAACCCUAUGCCUAAAUGGGGACAAGGGUGUAUGAAUGAUGGGGAGGGAACCUCACAGACAGGUGUGUCUCAGGUUAUUGACCUUCUCAAGACCAGUACUACGUAACAGAUGAGCAGUACUAGAAUCCUAAGGAGGAGCACUACCCUGACCCUACUCAAGAGUAGUACUAACAGAUUAAGCAUAAUCAUGAGGAGCCUGAGUAGCAUGACGCACCGACACCUAAUGUUUUUCUUGGGGGCCUUUUUUUUAUCUAACUUUAUUGUUGUCAUUCAUUAAUCAUGUUGCUUACAA